RNAcentral lists this unclassified non-coding RNA (805 nucleotides) under Hevea brasiliensis (rubber tree). Lineage: Eukaryota; Viridiplantae; Streptophyta; Magnoliopsida; Malpighiales; Euphorbiaceae. The record is from RNAcentral.
GUCGCACGGUUACGAGCCGCCGCCGCCGGCGUACGGCGGUGGCGGCGGUUAUGAGGAGCCGCAUCGCGAGCAUCAUCACCGUCCGUUCUCAUCGCAUCAUGUCGAGCAUGUUGCGCACGAGGGCUACCAGGGUGGUGGCGGAUCUGCGAACCAGCAGCGGACGGUGAGGGUCUUCACCAAGGCCAAGGAGGAUUUCUCGCUCUCGAUCCGUGAUGGGAAGGUCGUUCUCGCGCCAGCUAAUCCUCGCGACGAACAUCAGCACUGGAUCAAGGAUAUGAGGUAUAGCACCAAAGUGAAGGAUGAGGAGAGUCUGCCGAGCUUUGCGCUUGUUAACAAGGUUACUGGAGAGGCUAUCAAGCACUCUAUUAAAGCAAGCCAUCCCGUUAGACUGGUUCCUUACAAUCCUGAUUAUCUUGAUGAGUCUGUUCUGUGGACGGAGAGCCAUGAUACUGGUGGAGACUACCGAUGCAUAAGAAUGGUGAACAAUAUUGCGUUGAACUUUGAUGCCUUCCACGGGGACAAGGACCAUGGAGGAGUGCGUGAUGGAACUCAAGUUGUCCUUUGGGAGUGGACUAAAGGAGACAACCAGAGGUGGAAAAUUAUCCCCUACUGAUAAGUAUGAUGGAUGUGCAUUACUAUCUAGUGUGCUUGUACUAUGAGGCCCACCUGCAGAAUAAGUUCACCUUUCAGAGGUGAGUACGCCACCAUCUUCGCUUUUAUGGGCAUGAGUUGUAUGAUGGAUCUGUAGACUGUUCAGUUUGCUUUAUGUGCUUAGGGGCAUAUGAUGCCUCUGCUGCUUUUCUCU